RNAcentral lists this ribosomal RNA (253 nucleotides) under uncultured prokaryote. RNAcentral's name for it is "partial 16S ribosomal RNA". It matches the Rfam family "Bacterial small subunit ribosomal RNA", at positions 522 to 774 of the family's 1533-position model. The record is from RNAcentral.
AAUACGUAGGGGGCUAGCGUUGUCCGGAUUUAUUGGGCGUAAAGAGCGUGUAGGCGGCCAGGUAGGUCCGCUGUGAAAACUCGAGGCUCAACCUCGAGAGGUCGGUGGAAACCAUCUGGCUAGAGUCCGGAAGAGGAGAGUGGAAUUCCUGGUGUAGCGGUGAAAUGCGCAGAUAUCAGGAAGAACACCAAUGGCGAAGGCAGCUCUCUGGGACGGUACUGACGCUGAGACGCGAAAGCGUGGGGAGCGAACA